GUGAGAACACUGCUAACCCAGAAGAACAUUAAGGUGAAGACCACUGCUAACACAGAAGAACAUUAAGCCUCGUCUGAAUUUUGCUAAAACACACCUUGAUGAUCCUCAAACCUUUUGGGAGAAUGUUCUGUGGAUUGAUGAGUCGAAAGUGGAACUGUUUGGAAGACAGGAGUCCCGUUACAUCUGACGUAAACCAAACACAGAAUUCCACAAAAAGAUCAUCGUACCUACGGUUAAGUAUGGUGGUGGCAGUGUGAUGGUGUGGGGAUGCUCUGCUGCUUCAGGGCCUGGGCAACUUGCAAUAAUUGAGGGAAACAUGAAUUCUGCUCUCUACCAGAAAACCCAAAAGGACAAAAAUCUUUACAUGUAAACAGCCAGCAUCUUGAUCCUGUAGUUUUUAAGGAGUUUCCUAAUGAGCUGAAUAAUGUCCCAAGAACAUACUCAAUAUCUUAUCUUAUACAGUAUAAACAUGAAUAUAGAUACACUGAUAUCAAUGGCAAUACUGCAUAUAUUCUGAUGUAUUUCUAGCCAAGGUUAAUCUAGGUCACUGGUUUUCAGGUAAACAAGUAGCAUCUCGAAUCCGUACGUGCCUCGCACAAGCUCCUCUCCAGCUUGUUAAAACAUCAAACUCGAAAAAAAAACUGCACUAACAGGACAAUGUCAGCAACGGCUUCUGAAAUAAUGACUUCGACCAAGAGAGCUGAAUUAUUAACGCUCUGCUCCAAAUCCUGUCACUGCUUGCUGGCCAAAAAAUUACGUUAAGCUGAUGGUACAUUACUUUCUGGCUUACAUACAUUUUCAUCAACCACUGUCCAGCACCUUGUUUUUCUUGUCUUUUUUUUUUACCUCCUGAUCGAUGAAAUCCUCUUCGUUUUGUCUGAAUUGUUCAUCCAUUGAGUCGUUUAAACAAACUCGAGCACGCUAAUGAUAUGUGACCCAUUUGAGGGGGUUUUGGAGAUGAGGAGCACAUUGCCUAUGAGCGGAUCUAGAGAGUUCUUAUGUUGUAUUUUCGCGUUUGGAAAUUUUCCUGAAUUUUCGAUCGGCUCCAAAAUUCUUGGUACACCUCAAGAGAUUGGCUAAAGGUAAAAGUACACACUGUAUAAAAUGGACAAUACUCACACUUAUGAAUACAAGCCUGGAGCAGAUACACGUUUGCCCGAAACAAGACAACCUGAUCCCUAUGAAUCUUUUAAUAAGAUAUUGACCCGAAACAUACACCUGAAUCUAUACAGCGAGGUGUUGCAGGUAAACAAAACCCCGUAUUGUUCGACGGCUUCGGACCUGUGGUGUAAAUCGAAGAAGAAUACCCACAUGCUCGCAUCUAAGAAUAUAACAUACGGUAGAUUGAAAUACCCUGCAUGGAAGACUGGACCCAAAUCCCUCAACAAACAUCUCCAACCUUGUUAGACGUUACAAUAGGACAUGCGCUCGUUUCUCUGUAGGCGGGGCUUCGCAGAGUAAUAACUGUGGUAGUGCCAAUACUUUUGAAACCGACGUUUUUGACAAAAGAUCUUAAGAAAACCUUUCGUGCUCGCCAUAUUACACGCGUCCUCGUAAGUUUACGCUCGAAACGUCACGUCUGAUUCGUUUCAUUUCAGACGGUAUUUUCAUUCUUUUUAAUGAGGGGUGCCAAUAAUUUCGGAGCGUAAUGAAUGCCUGUGUAUAGAGAACCGGUGAGCAAAAUAUGCAUGUGCAAACACACACACACACACACACACACACAUAAAGAAAAUGUCAGAAUUAACUACUGUUCAGCCCCAGGGACAAUGCUGAUAACAUAUCAACAAAACAACAGCCAAAAGCCACCAUCAAUCCCUCUGUAAACACGUCUCUCUCUCUCUCUCUCUCUCUCUCUCUCACACACACACCCACAAUCCCUCCUUUUUCUCUCCCUCUUCCUUUCUCUCGCUCUGUUCUUCCACUCGCUGCCAAAUUGCAUCCUUUCUGCCGGCUCCCAAUUAGACUGAUUACGAGGCUGCAACC
Long non-coding RNA from Ictalurus punctatus (channel catfish), 1983 nucleotides. NCBI's taxonomy places the organism in Eukaryota, Metazoa, Chordata, Actinopteri, Siluriformes, Ictaluridae. The record is from Ensembl.